CGUGACUGUGGACAAAGUUGGUUUUGUGAAAUGAAAGAUGGGUUGCAGAGAAAGACACCAAUGGAAUUGCAUUUAGCUCAACAUCUGAUCACAGGUCCUUCUUCAUUUGGUGGACACAUGUUGAUGUUUAUAUCGCCACCAAAACUUUUCUGUGGACUUGGAAGGUCAUAAGAAAAUUUGGCAGUAACUGCUACUUUGGAUAGGUGCUCUGUGAAAGUGAUUUGAAAUUGAAUAAUGCAACCUCUUACAAGCCAGGUACAGCUCUAAAUAUAUGCUUUAUGAAUUAAAAAAUUCAAGAAAUGAAGUUGAAUGAUAUGCUUUUAAUUAGUAGUAGAUUGUCAGGAGCCACCAUCUUAGAUGGAACAUGGAGGAAUACAUACAGUAUUCCAAACUUUAGAUUUUAUUGUAAUAUGAAGAAAAGAACUGGGAAACAUGACAUGCUGUAUGUAUUUUUUUUUUGAAGAAAAAUACUAGUACUCAGUAGUGCCCAGGUGUUGUAUUUUCAUGGUGAAAGAUUAUCCUUUUUGUAAUUUUCUAUGAAUCUGUUUUCACUGUUCCAAUAGAAUUUUAUGGAAACAGAAAAACUCGGUGUGCUUGCUACUCAGUUAGAAAAUAUUUGUGCUUAUAGGUGCUUAAUUAGCAUUUCAAUGUUAACAAGAUGAAUACGUCCGAAGGUAUUGGUUU
Molecule: long non-coding RNA, 684 nt
Organism: Populus trichocarpa (black cottonwood)
Lineage: Eukaryota; Viridiplantae; Streptophyta; Magnoliopsida; Malpighiales; Salicaceae
Exons: 2
Source: RefSeq, a predicted model, not a curated record